Juglans microcarpa x Juglans regia is the source of this 343-nucleotide long non-coding RNA. RefSeq lists it as uncharacterized. The record is from RefSeq and is a predicted model, not a curated record. The transcript has 2 exons. NCBI's taxonomy places the organism in Eukaryota, Viridiplantae, Streptophyta, Magnoliopsida, Fagales, Juglandaceae.
UCUAGAAUGAGAGAGUAAUUUGUAGGAAUUAUUCUCAUUAAAAAUUCAUAAUAUAGGUACAAGGCAGUAUAUAUAGAUUAUAGCUGAAGAGAAAAGGAAAGAAUAAAGUAGGAAAGAAUAAAUUAAAUGCUAACUUCUAAGGAAACUAAAUCUCCUAGAAUAUUCACACAUUUACACCCAAUAUCUCCUAGAAUACAACAGAAGAAAAGGAAAGAAUAAAGUAGGAAAGAAUAAAUUAAAUGCUAACUUCUAAGGAAACUAAAUCUCCUAGAAUAUUCACACAUUUACACCCAAUAUCUCCUAGAAUACAACAGAGUUGACUAGGCAGAUUUUGGAAACUUUC